AAAGGGGAAAAGACUACCAUCGUCACAUCUUUCAACAGGAACCUCACUGCCAGGAACGAUGCUAACCCAGCUACUAAUGCUUUUGUCACUUCUCCCGAGAUAGUCACUGCCCUGGCCCUCGCUGGGACCCUCAGCUUCAACCCUGAAAAUGACUACCUGACUGCUCCAAUGGGGAGAAGUUCAAGCUGGAGCCCCCCACUAGCUCCCCUCCAGAGACUUUGACCCAGACCAGGACACCUACCAGCACCUCCCUGCUGAGAGCAGCUCAGUCAAGGUAGAUGUAAAUCCUUCCACUAACCACCUGCAGCUGCUGGAGCCAUUCGACAAGUGGAAUGGAAAAGACCUAGAGGACAUGACAGUCCUGCUGUAGGUGAAGGGAAACUGCACCACUGACCACAUCAGUGCCGACAGGCCCUAGCUGAAAUUUCGUGGCCACCUGAACAACAUCUCCAACAAUCUGCUGAUCGGUGCGGUCAACAUCGAGAACGCCGCCGUCAACAAGAUCAAGAACCAGCUGACUGGAGAGUAUGGUGGGCUGCCAGAUGUGGCUCGCUACUACAAGGCUAACGGAGCGAGCUGGGUGGUAGUUGGUGACGAGAACUAUGGAGAGGGAUCCAGCAGAGAGCACGCUGCCCAAGAGCCACGACACCUGGGAGGACGCGCCAUCAUCAUUAAGAGCUUUGCCAGAAUAAACGAGACUAACCUGAAGAAGCAAGGCCUGCUGCCUCUGAUGUUUGCUGACCCUCAUGACUAUGAUAGAAUUUGCCCAGAUGAUAAGAUUUCAAUCACUGGCCUGAAAUCAUUUGCCCCUGGCAAGCACACUCAGUCCAAACAGCUGCAUUCCUUCAUCCCCAAACCUUGAAGUCAGAAGAGGUGGAGGUUCAAUCUCACACGGUUGUUGGGCGAUUGUCCCAGUCCCAGUUUUUCUGUUUGCCCUCGCCAUCACCCGGACCUGCCGGUUAGUGUGUGAUUUCCUAGCGUAGCUGUAAUGGGAGAUCACUGAGUGUCUUUGAGCCAAAUGUUUCUCAAGGUUGGCGCGAUAGACCUGCUGUGUUCUUGCACAAUCUGGUGUCCAGAUGCUUGUACAAUAGCAUUUUAGAGAGACAGAAAGAAAGAAGUUUAAGUUUAAGGUUGUUUCACCAUUCAGUGUUUCUCCUCUGCAGACCCUCUUGCAAACAUGAGACUCUCUAAGACUAAUCCGCAACUUGUAAUACCACUUGUUAAUACUCACUUUUAAGAUGCAUAUGAAUAAAAGAAGGAGUAAUAUAAAAGUGA
This is a long non-coding RNA of Oreochromis niloticus (Nile tilapia), 1275 nucleotides long. RefSeq annotates it as aconitate hydratase, mitochondrial. The transcript is spliced from 7 exons. NCBI's taxonomy places the organism in Eukaryota, Metazoa, Chordata, Actinopteri, Cichliformes, Cichlidae. The record is from RefSeq and is a predicted model, not a curated record. The annotation marks the transcript as partial.